RNAcentral lists this ribosomal RNA (347 nucleotides) under uncultured bacterium. Its description in RNAcentral is "bacterial SSU rRNA". It matches the Rfam family "Bacterial small subunit ribosomal RNA", at positions 917 to 1264 of the family's 1533-position model. The record is from RNAcentral.
GGGCCCGCACAAGCGGUGGAGCAUGUGGUUUAAUUCGAUGCAACGCGAAGAACCUUACCAUCCCUUGACAUCCAGUGAACUUUCUAGAGAUAGAUUGGUGCCUUCGGGAACACUGAGACAGGUGCUGCAUGGCUGUCGUCAGCUCGUGUUGUGAGAUGUUGGGUUAAGUCCCGCAACGAGCGCAACCCUUAUCCUUAGUUGCCAGCGAUUCGGUCGGGAACUCUGGGGAGACUGCCGGUGAUAAACCGGAGGAAGGUGGGGACGACGUCAAGUCAUCUGGCCCUUACGGGAUGGGCUACACACGUGGCUACAAUGGCGCGUACAAAGGGCAGCGAACCUGCGAGGGU